RNAcentral lists this ribosomal RNA (511 nucleotides) under uncultured Glomus. Its description in RNAcentral is "SSU rRNA". It matches the Rfam family "Eukaryotic small subunit ribosomal RNA", at positions 569 to 1081 of the family's 1831-position model. Lineage: Eukaryota; Fungi; Glomeromycota; Glomeromycetes; Glomerales; Glomeraceae. The record is from RNAcentral.
AGCAGCCGCGGUAAUUCCAGCUCCAAUAGCGUAUAUUAAAGUUGUUGCAGUUAAAAAGCUCGUAGUUGAAUUUCGGGAUCAACAUGUCGGUCGUGCCUCCGGUACGUACUGGCAUCGUUGAUUUCUACCUUCUGACGAACCAUGAUGUCAUUAAUUUGGUGUCAUGGGGAAUCAGGACUGUUACUUUGAAAAAAUUAGAGUGCUUAAAGCAGGCACACGCUUGAAUACAUUAGCAUGGAAUAAUGAAAUAGGACGUUUGACCCUAUUUUGUUGGUUUCUAGGAUCGACGUAAUGAUUAAUAGGGAUAGUUGGGGGCAUUAGUAUUCAAUUGUCAGAGGUGAAAUUCUUGGAUUUAUUGAAGACUAACUACUGCGAAAGCAUUUGCCAAGGAUGUUUUCAUUAAUCAAGAACGAAAGUUAGGGGAUCGAAGACGAUCAGAUACCGUCGUAGUCUUAACCAUAAACUAUGCCGACUAGGGAUCGGAUGAUGUUAAUUUUUUAAUGACUCAUUC